UCCCUCCUGAAGCUGUGUGCUCAGGGAAGAGGACGACUUUCCGGAAUACAGGAGGACUGGUCUUUGGUCAAGGGGAUACAAGUAGCUGUGCUCCCUGCUAGAACUUCCAAACAAGCUUUCAAAAAUGAAGAGCUUGGGCCGGGC
RNAcentral lists this small RNA (144 nucleotides) under Jaculus jaculus (lesser Egyptian jerboa). Its description in RNAcentral is "7SK RNA (ENSJJAG00000006930.1)". It matches the Rfam family "7SK RNA", at positions 116 to 265 of the family's 331-position model. From Rfam's summary of the family: 7SK was discovered as an abundant small nuclear RNA in the mid-70s but a possible function has only recently been suggested. Two independent studies have found that 7SK RNA binds the CDK9/cyclin T complex (known as elongation factor P-TEFb). Lineage: Eukaryota; Metazoa; Chordata; Mammalia; Rodentia; Dipodidae. The record is from RNAcentral.